GUGAAUUUGGGGCAUCAUUUGUAUUUUCUUUAUCACUGCAGUUCUCUGUCUCUGUCCAAGGGGCUGACAAGGGAAAUGAGAGAUGCCUUUCUGUUGCGGUGUCGAGACCUUGACUGUCACAAUGAUGUAUUUUUGUGGUGCCUCUUAGCCAAGGCAGUUCCAGAAAAUACGGGAUCACGAUGCAAAAAUGGUCAAGGAAGCUGAGAUGCGGUGGUAAAAGGGCUGGGAUCGAUGGAAGGUAUGAGAAUUAUAAUUUGUUUAUAUAGAGCCAUUGGUGUGUCUUGUGCUUUAUAGGUGAAAACAAAAAGAGAAAAUCUCUGUCUUAAGGGGCUUAUGUCUUAUGAGAUAGAACAGCAGGACAGCUGACAGUGACAAGGAAGGUUUGGGGAGCAAAAGGGUUGGGGCCAGGGAGAACACUCCUUGGAGGAUACAGACUCCCACAGGCAGCAACCAGUGCUUGCUUUUCUGGUGUUUAUUUUUUAACAUAAUGAAAUGUAUAGCUAUUUUUAUUAUAGAGGGGAGGCUACCGGCUGGGAAGGACAGCUGCAUGGAGUGGGAUUGGCUGGGGAGCAGUUGGCAUCUGGGCAGGAGUGUUGUCAUCGCUGGUGAAUCUGUAGUUGGUUUGCAUGGCUGUCAUGGCUUGCGGUGGAUGGGAAAUAUAACCCAUCUGAAAGCCUAGAUGUGUAACUGACUCAUCAGUUCACUUCAGUUUUAUGUGAAUUAAAGCAGGAGUUUGAAAACUGAUUACGGGGCAGAGAGGAAAGCAGAUUUUGCUGUAUGCAGCUGUCAGAUCGUUCUUCAAAGAAGCAUUGAUAAAUGUCAGGAGCCAGUAACCCCCAGAUCUCUGUUUUAAACAUUGUUUUCUGCAUCUGAGAGAUUCUGCUGCAAUAACCAGCUAUAUUUGCAGCAAGGCUGACACUGCCCUGAUCCUCAUCAAAGGAGAAUAGAGGCCUUUUCACCUGUUGUUCUGUUUUUUUUUUAAAGAAACCUGAUAUUUGCUGAAUGAGUCACUCAGAUAAAACUGUCAAAAGCAAAGCUUUCCAAACCACAGUGUAACUGUAUACGCAUUCCAAAUAAAUGAAGUUUCCACAUUAAAGUGACACUGUAUAUAUUUUUCAUAGUACCCCUAAUAACUGUACUUAGUUGCUCUAUGAGGGUAUUAAAACACACACAAUGCAGAAUUACACAAGAAUGUCCGGUUCUUUGAAAAACAAGAACACCCUACGUAACCAAAUAUAUUCAACAAACCAAGAAACAGACACAGGGCUAGAGUAGUUGCACAAUGCAGACUGCAGCAAUCUCAGGAUUUGAUGGACAAUCAGAAGGUGUGAGAUCCAAGCUGUAGUGAGCCAGCUCAGCCUCUUCCAGGGAGAAGUCCACAAGAGAAGAGAGAAAAUUCCCUAAGGUUCCACUUGCAGAGUUUCCUGUCAGUUGUGCCUAAUAGGGUGUGGGGGAGUCAUCCCAACUUCAUAGAUCCUAGUGAUUCAUAGGAAAGAAACUCCCUUCCACCUCUGAAUUCUUGUGUGGUUUUCUGUGACGUCACAGCACGGGUACUGGCUGGGUCUCCCUGCAGCUGCUGAGCAGCAGGCACAGGAAGGAGACAGAGAAAGUAAAUACAAUUUAAUGCAGAAAUCUGGGCAAGCUGCUGUGCAUGGUGCCAAGGAGCAUGUGGCGACUCCCCAGCUCCACUCCUGAAACUCCAUGAAGUCACAAUGAAGGGGCUUCUAUAAGGUGUUGGGGCAGUGCCAAAGCAGAAACACUGCCAGCAAAAGAACUACCCAUGGAAAUACCCCCAGGUGAGUACAUGGAGGGUUGUUCCAGGCCCACGUUAACCAGGGAUGAGUCAAGUUGUUUGACAUUUCAAAUCCACAAGAACUCUGUGAGUUUGCAAGCUUUGGUUCAAACGCAAAUGUGAUGAGGUUUGCUUUCAGCUAAGGAGAGGCUGGAAAAGGAAUGGAAAAUGGGAGAGAGGAAAAAUAUCCCUGGGGGGAAAUGGAACAGACAA
Long non-coding RNA from Chelonia mydas (Green sea turtle), 2005 nucleotides. RefSeq lists it as uncharacterized. Lineage: Eukaryota; Metazoa; Chordata; Testudines; Cheloniidae. The transcript has 2 exons. The record is from RefSeq and is a predicted model, not a curated record.